AAAUGGCCGUUCCUUUGUCUCUGUUUCUUUUUGCUAAUGAUUUAUUUCUCAUAUUUCUCAUACCGCUCAUUUUCUCCUCUCUCCCUCUCUUCUUGUGAAUAUUUUUGGUGAUUUUUGUCAAGCUUUGUGUGGCAAAAUGUCAACUUCUCAAUAUUUUUCAGUUUUUAUUUAUGACUCCUUUACGAAAGAUGACCUGAAUGAUCUUCGACUUCUUACCCUUUAUAAUAACGUAGGUAUUUUCUUUUUUUUUUCUCGUUAUGCCUUGUAUCUGUAUGUCCCAUGAACGGUAUCUUCAUGGGCAGUAAUUUCAUUUCUCCAUUCUGCACCGAGAUGACUUCAAUCUCAUAUAUGUUGAAUUUCUAUCACGGGACAGGACAACAUUUUCAAACUGAAUACAGCAUCCAAUGCAGACAGGUUAUUUAGUCGUUUACUCUAGGAAGAGUGACAUGCAUGAGAAAUUGCUUGAAAAUAUUAUACAAUCGGGGUCAACCCAUUGAACAACGCUCAUAGAAUGGAAAGGCGGAAUGAUGCAAAUAAACUGGAAACCACACAAUGCACCACCGGCAACCAUCUAAUGGUGAAAUGAUAAGAGAGAACUUUUGAUGGAUUCAAUGGACAACGCAGGAUGAAAAUGGAUUUAGACAAAAGAGAA
Molecule: small RNA, 652 nt
Filed under: Histoplasma capsulatum var. duboisii H88
Lineage: Eukaryota; Fungi; Ascomycota; Eurotiomycetes; Onygenales; Ajellomycetaceae
Description: Histoplasma capsulatum H88 hypothetical RNA
Source: RNAcentral